AUGAUUGGAAGGCAAUAGAAGCUGUCUAUUUGGGUGACAUCAUCACUGGAGAGCAGGCUGCCCUGGCAGAAAAGACGAAGGAUAUACCAGUCCCAGUCUGACUUACCUCCAGAAGUGAUAGAAAAGUAGAGGGACAUUCAGCCCCAGCGUGAGCCACUCUUGCGCACACAGGAACAUAAUGCAGAAGAGGCUAUGGAUGGAGUAUUCUGGCAGCACCAGCUGAAGAGGGAGCAGAGACACGGCCCUGAGUUAGAGGAGGAAAACGCCACUCCUGCUUCUAUGGCAGCUGACUUCUGCCUGGACACUGCCUCUCACAGACGGUUGACACAAAGGCCCUCCCUGCAGCAACGUAGAGCCACUGCCCCAACACAGAUCCAUUUCUGAUACGCAUCAAGAGCCUACUAUGAGGUGUCAAACACUGUGGCAGGCACUGGAGGUGCCAGGAUGAGUUCAAUGAGCCUGGUGACAAUGUUCCAGGCACCCCCAGGCUGAUGGGAGAGACCGACAGCUGAACACUGGACCAUGCCGCAGCCAGCACUCACACACUGUGUAAAGGGGACCAUAACGAUGUCUACAUCCCAGGGCUGUCGCGAGUGAGAUCAUCCAACCAAGCACUUUGUACAACGUCUGGCAUAUUAUACCACAUAUAAUACCUUAAUAAAUGUUGUUAUAGAAAAAAAC
Molecule: long non-coding RNA, 681 nt
Filed under: Homo sapiens (human)
Lineage: Eukaryota; Metazoa; Chordata; Mammalia; Primates; Hominidae
Description: HSALNT0298622
Source: RNAcentral